RNAcentral lists this ribosomal RNA (253 nucleotides) under uncultured bacterium. Its description in RNAcentral is "partial 16S ribosomal RNA". It matches the Rfam family "Bacterial small subunit ribosomal RNA", at positions 524 to 776 of the family's 1533-position model. The record is from RNAcentral.
UACGGAGGGUGCAAGCGUUAAUCGGAAUUACUGGGCGUAAAGCGCGCGUAGGCGGCUCGAUAAGUCGGAUGUGAAAGCCCCGGGCUCAACCUGGGAACUGCAUACGAUACUGUCUGGCUAGAGUAUGAGAGAGGGAGGUAGAAUUCCACGUGUAGCGGUGAAAUGCGUAGAUAUGUGGAGGAAUACCGGUGGCGAAGGCGGCCCACUGGUCCGGUACUGACGCUGAGGUGCGAAAGCGUGGGGAGCAAACAGG